GUUGCCCAGAGAUGGUCACCCAAGAGGGGGGUGAAUUGGGUGUUUUAAAACUUUUCGCCUAAUUAAAAAUAAAACACACAAAUAUAUGCACUAAAGUAAAGAAGGAGGAAUGAGAAAGGUCAAUCGCAAACACAAGGUUUUAUAGUGGUUCGGAGCUUCCACUGCUCCUACAUCCACUCCCCAAAUCACCUUUGGGAAUUUCCAC
This 205-nucleotide long non-coding RNA is filed under the name Phoenix dactylifera (date palm). Its description in RNAcentral is "long non-coding RNA (PDAC_LNC003253)". Lineage: Eukaryota; Viridiplantae; Streptophyta; Magnoliopsida; Arecales; Arecaceae. The record is from RNAcentral.